UUGCAAAACACAUCGCAGCCACACCGGGAGUCCUUGGCAGGUAUUUUAUUUCAUAUAUAGACGCUUUCUGUAAUCAAAUGUGAGUGCAAUCAAACAACAGCAAUACAAACAUU
Molecule: long non-coding RNA, 113 nt
Organism: Salarias fasciatus (jewelled blenny)
Lineage: Eukaryota; Metazoa; Chordata; Actinopteri; Blenniiformes; Blenniidae
Exons: 3
Source: RefSeq, a predicted model, not a curated record